Molecule: ribosomal RNA, 207 nt
Filed under: uncultured bacterium
Lineage: Bacteria
Description: partial 16S ribosomal RNA
Rfam family: Bacterial small subunit ribosomal RNA
Source: RNAcentral
AGCGUAGACGGCAUGGCAAGUCUGAAGUGAAAGCCCGGGGCUCAACCCCGGGACUGCUUUGGAAACUGUCAGGCUAGAGUGCUGGAGAGGUAAGUGGAAUUCCUAGUGUAGCGGUGAAAUGCGUAGAUAUUAGGAGGAACACCAGUGGCGAAGGCGGCUUACUGGACGGUAACUGACGUUGAGGCUCGAAAGCGUGGGGAGCAAACA